AGCAACAGACUCCAGGUCCGAUUGCAUUGUUCCCGGCAUCGAACGAGGUCGCGGAGGAGUUCGCUCUCUACCAGGCAGGACAGGUCCGCUUUCGAGGCCUGCGACUGCUGCUGUCUUCGAUACAGGGCUUGCCAGGCGACUGCCUGCAGGCACAGCGCUGCGAGGUGUCGGCGUACGCGCUGCACGGCUGCGGGCUCGUUCGUCAUCGGCAGCGGCUGCCCCAGUGGCGAACGCUCGGAGAUGGUGGCAGCGCUACCGGCACCAGCACCACGAUGGCGCUGGUGCUGUACACGGCUUGCCAGCAUGCUCCAGUAGAGUAGCAUGAAGCGCUGGAGGCGUUUCUGCUUGCGUUGCAGUUCUGCGAUAAGCUGAUAGGCGCGAGUGCGUUCACGGCGUAGUGAAUCCUCCAAACCGGUGACUCGACCUUGUAAAGUCGCCAAGAGCUGGGAAGACUCCGAGUCCGUCGACGUUCGCAAUGUGUGCGCUUCUAGCUCUGCAGUGUUUUCGGUGUGAAGCGCUUUUUUCUGAACGCUUUGCAGCCGGUACAUCAGCAGCCAGAUACGUGCGACAAACAAGGCCGUUGUGGUAGCCUCCGUGGUCUCGAGUGGCGUCGAUAUGCCUUCGGCGUCCGCGAGUACACUAUGCGUUGUCGUCGGUGAGAAGCUGCCCGGCUUCAUGGGUGAGUUCAGCACCGAUGACCCGCGUUCCACGGCAUGGCGAAGACAGAGCGGUAGGAUCUUCUCAAGGGCGUUGAUGGCUCGCACCAGCGCUGCGUGGUGCUGGAUCACCAGGUUCGCAAUGGUUUGGCGCAUGCUUUCAUCGUUUUCGACCUCGAGCUGCUGUGCAUAGCGUCGCAGCUGACUCUCUGCGUCUUCGUAGGCAGCUCUGGCUUCGGCGAGCUCGAAGCGUUCCACCGCACCAGGCUCUUCGUCGACGUUCUUCUGAUGUGCUUUGAAUGUUCGUUUGACGUCCUUGUAGUGGAGCUUUUUCUGACGAAAUUCGCCGUAGCAGUAGGAUUUGGUGAAAUUUCGUCGAGGUUUGAUCAUGUUGAGCUCUACGGCUCGGCUGAAGGCCGAGAAUGCAUCGUGGACAUCGCGUUCGGUGCGUCCGACAGUUACGAGGACUUCGCGCAGCUCCCGCGAGAACAGGUACUUGUCUACAGUCUCCUGACUCAGUUCUUCUUCGGAGAUGACUUCACCUCGAGCGCGCAGGAGGCGAGCAACAUCGAUGAGCGACUCGGAGCACUGGCGUCCGUGCUCGACCAUGGCCACCAGGUCGCUGUUGUAGCGCGCAUAGUUCCGUGCUAAUAGGUCGUUGGCCCGACGCACGUCCUUCAACGUUAGCAGUUCCAGACGAAGUUCGUGGUCAUCCUCAUAGACGUCCUCGAGAUGAAGGCGCUCACGUAUACGAAUGCCGAGUUUUGCGCUCGAGAACAGCAGCUUACGAGCCGCCAUUUCAACGGGCGUAUACAGGUGCAGCGCGUCUCUGAGAGGACGCUGAACGUAUUUAGAAGCGAUCUACGUAAACAAGCGGCUAG
Molecule: RNA transcript, 1537 nt
Organism: Cyanidioschyzon merolae strain 10D
Lineage: Eukaryota; Rhodophyta; Bangiophyceae; Cyanidiales; Cyanidiaceae
Exons: 1
Source: RefSeq, a predicted model, not a curated record